UGACCAUCCGUUGCUUUUGCCAUCGGAUUAUGGCCAUACGGACAGCCCGGUCAAAAGCCGC
RNAcentral lists this small RNA (61 nucleotides) under Parasporobacterium paucivorans DSM 15970. Its description in RNAcentral is "Streptococcus sRNA SpF59 (ldcC RNA)". It matches the Rfam family "Streptococcus sRNA SpF59 (ldcC RNA)". The record is from Rfam by way of RNAcentral. Lineage: Bacteria; Bacillati; Bacillota; Clostridia; Lachnospirales; Lachnospiraceae.